UACGUAGGGGGCAAGCGUUGUCCGGAAUCAUUGGGCGUAAAGAGCGUGUAGGCGGUUCAGUAAGUCUGCUGUGAAAGUCCAGGGCUCAACCCUGGGAUGCCGGUGGAUACUGCUGGGCUAGAGUACGGAAGAGGCGAGUGGAAUUCCAGGUGUAGCGGUGAAAUGCGUAGAUAUCGAGAGGAACAUCGGUGGCGAAGGCGGCCUUCUGGACGGUGACUGACGCUGAGAUGCGAAAGCGUGGGGAGCAAACAGG
This 253-nucleotide ribosomal RNA is filed under the name uncultured bacterium. RNAcentral describes it as "partial 16S ribosomal RNA". It matches the Rfam family "Bacterial small subunit ribosomal RNA", at positions 524 to 776 of the family's 1533-position model. The record is from RNAcentral.